GCCGGGGUGGCGGAAUGGUAGACGCGGUGGUCUCAAACACCAUUGAUGUAAAAGUCGUGUGGGUUCGAGUCCCACCCCCGGCACCA
RNAcentral lists this transfer RNA (86 nucleotides) under Chthonomonadaceae bacterium. RNAcentral's name for it is "tRNA-Leu". It matches the Rfam family "tRNA". Rfam says of the family: Transfer RNA (tRNA) molecules are approximately 80 nucleotides in length. Their secondary structure includes four short double-helical elements and three loops (D, anti-codon, and T loops). The record is from RNAcentral. Lineage: Bacteria; Bacillati; Armatimonadota; Chthonomonadia; Chthonomonadales; Chthonomonadaceae.